AUGCUUACCUGGCAGCGGAGUCUUAGCCAUGAUCACUAAGGUGGCUCUCUCAGGGCGAGGCUGGUUCAUUGCACUUGGAACCCGCUGACCUUUGCGAUUUCCCCACAUGUGGGAAAUUCAACUGCACAAUUUAUGGCAGUGGGGGACUGUGUGCGCUCUUUCCCCUG
Small nuclear RNA from Bombina bombina (fire-bellied toad), 167 nucleotides. RefSeq annotates it as U1 spliceosomal RNA. The transcript has a single exon. NCBI's taxonomy places the organism in Eukaryota, Metazoa, Chordata, Amphibia, Anura, Bombinatoridae. The record is from RefSeq and is a predicted model, not a curated record.